This 1981-nucleotide ribosomal RNA is filed under the name human gut metagenome. RNAcentral's name for it is "bacterial LSU rRNA". It matches the Rfam family "Bacterial large subunit ribosomal RNA", at positions 1 to 1977 of the family's 2925-position model. The record is from RNAcentral.
UUAAGAUACUAAGGGCAUACGGCGGAUGCCUUGGCGAUAUCUGCCGAAGAAGGACGCGACAAGCUGCGAAAAGCUGCGGAGAGGCGCAAAUAGCCAUUGAACCGCAGAUAUCCGAAUGGAGAAAUCCGGCAGGGCUCAUCCCCUGUCAUCCAUGCCAUAGAGCAUGAGAAGGUAAGCCGGUGAACUGAAACAUCUAAGUAGCCGGAGGAGAAGAAAUCAAACGAGAUACCCCAAGUAGCGGCGAGCGAACGGGGCAGAAGCCCAAACCGGAGAAGGAAACUUCGCCGGGGUUGAGGACCGUCAGAGCUUAAGAAGAAGUUAGCCGAAACGCCUGGGAAGGCGUGCCGAAGACAGUGAGAGCCUGGUAGGCGAAAACGGAGGCUUAGGAGACGGAAUCCAGAGUACCGCGGGACACGAGAAACCCCGUGGGAAGCAGGGGGGACCACCCUCCAAGGCAAAACACAGAUAUCGACCGAUAGCGCAUAGUACCAUGAGGGAAAGGUGAAAAGCACCCCGGGAGGGGAAUGAAAGAGAACCUGAAACCGUAUGUUUACAAGCAGUCGGAGACCGUAUAUAUACCAGGUCGACGGCGUGCCUAUUGAAGAAUGAACCAGCGAGUUACGAGGACCGGCAAGGUUAAGCAGGAAAUGCGGAGCCGAAGCGAAAGCGAGUCUUAAUAGGGCGAGAGUCGGAAUGCGUAGACCCGAAACCACAGUGAUCUACCCAUGUCCAGGCUGAAACACAGGUAAAAAUGUGCGGAGGGCCGAACCUAUAUCUGUUGAAAAAGGUUAGGAUGAGGUGUGGGUAGGGGUGAAAUUCCAAUCGAACGUGGAGAUAGCUGGUUCUCCCCGAAAUAGCUUUAGGGCUAGCCUCAGGUGGUGAUUACAGGCGGUAGAGCACUGAUCAGGAGAGGGACCUACCCGGUUACCAAACCCAGUCAAACUCCGAAUGGCUGUAAUCAAACCUGGGAGUCAGACUACGACUUAUAAGGGCCGUGGUCAAGAGGGAAACAGCCCAGAUCAUCAGCUAAGGUCCCAAAUGCCGUGCUAAGUGGCGAAGGAUGUGGCGUUUCAUAAACAACCAGGAUGUUGGCUCAGAAGCAGCCACCAUUCAAAGAGUGCGUAAUAGCUCACUGGUCGAGAGACGCUGCGCCGAAGAUGUCCGGGGCUCAAGCACGGAACCGAAGCUAUGGCAGAUUGCUUGCAAUCUGGGUAGGGGAGCGUUCUUAUCACGGAGAAGCGGUACCGUAAGGAGCCGUGGAGAGGUAAGAAGUGAGAAUGCUGGUAUGAGUAUCGAAAAGGCUGGUGAGAAUCCAGCCCACCGAAAGCCCGAGGGUUCCUGAGCAACGAUCGUCGUCUCAGGGUAAGUCGGGACCUAAGCCGAGGCAAAGACGCAUAGGCGAUGGAGAACAGGUUGAAAUUCCUGUACCGGAGCAGUCCGUCUGAGCGAUGGAGUGACGCAGCAGGGCACACGAGCAUGCGGCUGGAAGAGCAUGUCCAAGCCCGUAGCCCGUAUGGCAGGGAAAUCCGCCAUGCAGAAGGGUGAGAGGUGACGGGGAGUUAAAGGAAACUUUGACGAACUCGUGAAUCCCACACUGCCAAGAAAAGCUUCUAGCGAGGACUGAUCCGCCCGUACCGUAAACCGACACAGGUAGGCGGGGAGAGAAUCCUAAGGUGCGCGGGAAAACCCUCGUUAAGGAACUCGGCAAAUUGCAUCCGUAACUUCGGAAGAAGGAUGGCCCUGAGUAGGCGAAAAGUCUUGCACUUGGAACCGGAAAGGGUGGCAGAAAAGAGGCCCAAGCAACUGUUUACCAAAAACACAGGUGCCUGCGAAAGCGAAAGCUGACGUAUAGGUGCUGACGCCUGCCCGGUGCUGGAAGGUUAAGGAGAGAGGUUAGCGCAAGCGAAGCUUUGAACUGAAGCCCCAGUGAACGGCGGCCGUAACUAUAACGGUCCUAAGGUAGCGAAAUUCCUUGUCGGGU